This 477-nucleotide ribosomal RNA is filed under the name uncultured bacterium. Its description in RNAcentral is "partial 16S ribosomal RNA". It matches the Rfam family "Bacterial small subunit ribosomal RNA", at positions 30 to 507 of the family's 1533-position model. The record is from RNAcentral.
AUUGAACGCUGGCGGCAUGCCUUACACAUGCAAGUCGAACGGUAACAGGUUAAGCUGCCGAGUGGCGAACGGGUGAGUAAUGUAUCGGAACGUGCCCAGUCGUGGGGGAUAACUGCUCGAAAGAGCAGCUAAUACCGCAUACGACCUGAGGGUGAAAGCGGGGGAUCGCAAGACCUCGCGCGAUUGGAGCGGCCGAUAUCAGAUUAGGUAGUUGGUGAGGUAAAGGCUCACCAGGCCGACGAUCUGUAGCUGGCCUGAGAGGACGACCAGCCACACUGGGACUGAGACACGGCCCAGACUCCUACGGGAGGCAGCAGUGGGGAAUUUUGGACAAUGGGCGCAAGCCUGAUCCAGCCAUGCCGCGUGCGGGAAGAAGGCCUUCGGGUUGUAAACCGCUUUUGUCAGGGAAGAAAAGGUUCUGGCUAAUACCUGGGACUCAUGACGGUACCUGAAGAAUAAGCACCGGCUAACUACGUG